Molecule: ribosomal RNA, 564 nt
Filed under: uncultured bacterium
Lineage: Bacteria
Description: partial 16S ribosomal RNA
Rfam family: Bacterial small subunit ribosomal RNA
Source: RNAcentral
UGGGGAAUAUUGGUCAAUGGGCGAGAGCCUGAACCAGCCAAGUCGCGUGAAGGAAGACUGCCUUAUGGGUUGUAAACUUCUUUUAUACAGGAAUAAAAAGGCUUACGUGUAGGCCAUUGCAAGUACUGUAUGAAUAAGCAUCGGCUAACUCCGUGCCAGCAGCCGCGGUAAUACGGAGGAUGCGAGCGUUAUCCGGAUUUAUUGGGUUUAAAGGGUGCGCAGGCGGGCUUUUAAGUCAGCGGUGAAAUCUGGACGCUUAACGUCCAAACUGCCGUUGAAACUGGGAGUCUUGAGUAUGGAUGAAGUAGGCGGAAUUCGUUGUGUAGCGGUGACAUGCAUAGAUAUAACGAGGAACUCCGAUUGCGUAGGCAGCUUACUAAGCCAUAACUGACGCUCAUGCACGAAAGCGUGGGGAUCAAACAGGAUUAGAGUACCCUGGUAGUCCACGCCGUAAACGAUGAUUACUGUUGAUAUGCGAUAAUGAUAGUAUGCGACUAGCGAAGCGAUAAGUAAUCCACCUGGGAGUACGCCGGCAACGGUGAAACUCAAAGGAAUUGACGGGGU